UCGCCUGUUUAUCAAAAACAUCGCCUCCUGCGAACCCCUACGUAUAGGAGGUCCAGCCUGCCCAGUGACUACAAGUUCAACGGCCGCGGUAUUCUGACCGUGCAAAGGUAGCGCAAUCACUUGUCUUUUAAAUGAAGACCUGUAUGAAUGGCCAAACGAGGGCUUAGCUGUCUCCCCCAUCAAGUCAGUGAAAUUGAUCUAUCCGUGCAGAAGCGGGUAUUAACAUACAAGACGAGAAGACCCUUUGGAGCUUAAGGUACAAAUCCACCUACGUUAAACAGCUUCCUAAACAAGCACAAACCUAAUAGAAUAUGGAAUUUUACCUUCGGUUGGGGCGACCACGGAGAACAAAAAAUCCUCCAAGUGGAUUGGGAACUUCCCUAAAACCAAGAAAGACAUUUCCAAGUCACAGAAAAUCUGACCAAAUAUGAUCCGGCCCCCCCGGGCCGAUCAACGAACCAAGUUACCCUAGGGAUAACAGCGCAAUCCCCUCCAAGAGUCCAUAUCGACGAGAGGGUUUACGACCUCGAUGUUGGAUCAGGACAUCCUAAUGGUGCAGCCGCUAUUAAGGGUUCGUUUGUUCAACGAUUAAAGUCCUACGUGAUCUGAUUCAGACCGGA
This 620-nucleotide ribosomal RNA is filed under the name Schistura fasciolata. RNAcentral's name for it is "partial 16S ribosomal RNA". It matches the Rfam family "Bacterial large subunit ribosomal RNA", at positions 1796 to 2620 of the family's 2925-position model. The record is from RNAcentral. Lineage: Eukaryota; Metazoa; Chordata; Actinopteri; Cypriniformes; Nemacheilidae.